RNAcentral lists this ribosomal RNA (250 nucleotides) under uncultured bacterium. Its description in RNAcentral is "partial 16S ribosomal RNA". It matches the Rfam family "Bacterial small subunit ribosomal RNA", at positions 524 to 772 of the family's 1533-position model. The record is from RNAcentral.
CACGUAGGGGGCGAGCGUUGUCCGGAUUUAUUGGGCGUAAAGAGCUCGUAGGCGGCUCAGUAAGUCAGGUGUGAAAACUCCAGGCUCAACCUGGAGACGCCACCUGAUACUGCUGUGGCUAGAGUCCGGUAGGGGAGCAUGGAAUUCCUGGUGUAGCGGUGAAAUGCGCAGAUAUCAGGAGGAACACCAGUGGCGAAGGCGGUGCUCUGGGCCGGAACUGACGCUGAGGAGCGAAAGCGUGGGGAGCAAA